This 384-nucleotide ribosomal RNA is filed under the name uncultured bacterium. RNAcentral describes it as "bacterial SSU rRNA". It matches the Rfam family "Bacterial small subunit ribosomal RNA", at positions 30 to 414 of the family's 1533-position model. The record is from RNAcentral.
AUUGAACGCUGGCGGCAUGCCUUACACAUGCAAGUCGAACAGCAGCACGGGGGCAACCCUGGUGGCGAGUGGCGAACGGGUGAGUAACAUAUCGGAACGUACCCAGAAGUGGGGGAUAACGUAGCGAAAGUUACGCUAAUACCGCAUACGAUCUACGGAUGAAAGUGGGGGACCUUCGGGCCUCAUGCUUUUGGAGCGGCCGAUAUCUGAUUAGCUAGUUGGUGAGGUAAAGGCUCACCAAGGCGACGAUCAGUAGCUGGUCUGAGAGGACGACCAGCCACACUGGGACUGAGAUACGGCCCAGACUCCUACGGGAGGCAGCAGUGGGGAAUAUUGGACAAUGGGGGGCAACCCUGAUCCAGCAAUGCGCGUGAGUGAUGAAGG